This 36-nucleotide ribosomal RNA is filed under the name Eucalyptus jucunda. RNAcentral describes it as "partial 18S ribosomal RNA". Lineage: Eukaryota; Viridiplantae; Streptophyta; Magnoliopsida; Myrtales; Myrtaceae. The record is from RNAcentral.
CAUUGUAGAAUCUUGCACAUCAGAAGGACCAGAGAA